Molecule: ribosomal RNA, 2882 nt
Filed under: Pseudomonas syringae pv. maculicola
Lineage: Bacteria; Pseudomonadati; Pseudomonadota; Gammaproteobacteria; Pseudomonadales; Pseudomonadaceae
Description: bacterial LSU rRNA
Rfam family: Bacterial large subunit ribosomal RNA
Source: RNAcentral
AGAAGCGCAUACGGUGGAUGCCUUGGCAGUCAGAGGCGAUGAAAGACGUGGUAGCCUGCGAAAAGCUUCGGGGAGUCGGCAAACAGACUGUGAUCCGGAGAUGUCUGAAUGGGGGAACCCAGCCAUCAUAAGAUGGUUAUCUUACACUGAAUACAUAGGUGUAAGAGGCGAACCAGGGGAACUGAAACAUCUAAGUACCCUGAGGAAAAGAAAUCAACCGAGAUUCCCUUAGUAGUGGCGAGCGAACGGGGACCAGCCCUUAAGUUGUAUUGAGAUUAGCGGAACGCUCUGGAAAGGGCGGCCAUAGUGGGUGAUAGCCCUGUACGCGAAAAUCCCUUUGCAAUGAAAUCGAGUAGGACGGGGCACGAGAAACCUUGUCUGAAUAUGGGGGGACCAUCCUCCAAGGCUAAAUACUACUGACUGACCGAUAGUGAACCAGUACCGUGAGGGAAAGGCGAAAAGAACCGCGGAGAGCGGAGUGAAAUAGAUCCUGAAACCGUAUGCGUACAAGCAGUGGGAGCCCACUUUGUUGGGUGACUGCGUACCUUUUGUAUAAUGGGUCAGCGACUUAUUUUCAGUGGCGAGCUUAACCGAAUAGGGGAGGCGUAGCGAAAGCGAGUCUUAAUAGGGCGUCUAGUCGCUGGGAAUAGACCCGAAACCGGGCGAUCUAUCCAUGGGCAGGUUGAAGGUUGGGUAACACUAACUGGAGGACCGAACCGACUACCGUUGAAAAGUUAGCGGAUGACCUGUGGAUCGGAGUGAAAGGCUAAUCAAGCUCGGAGAUAGCUGGUUCUCCUCGAAAGCUAUUUAGGUAGCGCCUCAUGUAUCACUGUAGGGGGUAGAGCACUGUUUCGGCUAGGGGGUCAUCCCGACUUACCAAACCGAUGCAAACUCCGAAUACCUACAAGUGCCGAGCAUGGGAGACACACGGCGGGUGCUAACGUCCGUCGUGAAAAGGGAAACAACCCAGACCGUCAGCUAAGGUCCCAAAGUCAUGGUUAAGUGGGAAACGAUGUGGGAAGGCUUAGACAGCUAGGAGGUUGGCUUAGAAGCAGCCACCCUUUAAAGAAAGCGUAAUAGCUCACUAGUCGAGUCGGCCUGCGCGGAAGAUGUAACGGGGCUCAAACCAUGCACCGAAGCUACGGGUAUCAUCUUUUGAUGAUGCGGUAGAGGAGCGUUCUGUAAGCCUGUGAAGGUGAGUUGAGAAGCUUGCUGGAGGUAUCAGAAGUGCGAAUGCUGACAUGAGUAACGACAAUGGGUGUGAAAAACACCCACGCCGAAAGACCAAGGUUUCCUGCGCAACGUUAAUCGACGCAGGGUUAGUCGGUCCCUAAGGCGAGGCUGAAAAGCGUAGUCGAUGGAAAACAGGUUAAUAUUCCUGUACUUCUGGUUAUUGCGAUGGAGGGACGGAGAAGGCUAGGCCAGCCUGGCGUUGGUAGUCCAGGUUUAAGGUGGUAGGCUGAGAUCUUAGGUAAAUCCGGGAUCUUAAGGCCGAGAGCUGAUGACGAGUGUUCUUUUAGAACAUGAAGUGGUUGAUGCCAUGCUUCCAAGAAAAGCUUCUAAGCUUCAGGUAACCAGGAACCGUACCCCAAACCGACACAGGUGGUUGGGUAGAGAAUACCAAGGCGCUUGAGAGAACUCGGGUGAAGGAACUAGGCAAAAUGGCACCGUAACUUCGGGAGAAGGUGCGCCGGUGAGGGUGAAGCAUUUACUGCGUAAGCCCACGCCGGUCGAAGAUACCAGGCCGCUGCGACUGUUUAUUAAAAACACAGCACUCUGCAAACACGAAAGUGGACGUAUAGGGUGUGACGCCUGCCCGGUGCCGGAAGGUUAAUUGAUGGGGUUAGCGCAAGCGAAGCUCUUGAUCGAAGCCCCGGUAAACGGCGGCCGUAACUAUAACGGUCCUAAGGUAGCGAAAUUCCUUGUCGGGUAAGUUCCGACCUGCACGAAUGGCGUAACGAUGGCGGCGCUGUCUCCACCCGAGACUCAGUGAAAUUGAAAUCGCUGUGAAGAUGCAGUGUAUCCGCGGCUAGACGGAAAGACCCCGUGAACCUUUACUAUAGCUUUGCACUGGACUUUGAAUUUGCUUGUGUAGGAUAGGUGGGAGGCUUUGAAGCGUGGACGCCAGUCUGCGUGGAGCCAACCUUGAAAUACCACCCUGGCAACUUUGAGGUUCUAACUCAGGUCCGUUAUCCGGAUCGAGGACAGUGUAUGGUGGGUAGUUUGACUGGGGCGGUCUCCUCCUAAAGAGUAACGGAGGAGUACGAAGGUGCGCUCAGACCGGUCGGAAAUCGGUCGUAGAGUAUAAAGGCAAAAGCGCGCUUGACUGCGAGACAGACACGUCGAGCAGGUACGAAAGUAGGUCUUAGUGAUCCGGUGGUUCUGUAUGGAAGGGCCAUCGCUCAACGGAUAAAAGGUACUCCGGGGAUAACAGGCUGAUACCGCCCAAGAGUUCAUAUCGACGGCGGUGUUUGGCACCUCGAUGUCGGCUCAUCACAUCCUGGGGCUGAAGCCGGUCCCAAGGGUAUGGCUGUUCGCCAUUUAAAGUGGUACGCGAGCUGGGUUUAGAACGUCGUGAGACAGUUCGGUCCCUAUCUGCCGUGGACGUUUGAGAUUUGAGAGGGGCUGCUCCUAGUACGAGAGGACCGGAGUGGACGAACCUCUGGUGUUCCGGUUGUCACGCCAGUGGCAUUGCCGGGUAGCUAUGUUCGGAAAAGAUAACCGCUGAAAGCAUCUAAGCGGGAAACUUGCCUCAAGAUGAGAUCUCACUGGAACCUUGAGUUCCCUGAAGGGCCGUCGAAGACUACGACGUUGAUAGGUUGGGUGUGUAAGCGCUGUGAGGCGUUGAGCUAACCAAUACUAAUUGCCCGUGAGGCUUGACC